UACAACAGGGCUGUCUUUUCUUUCCCAAAGAACCCCAAUUUGCUGAAAGAUGGAUUACCCAGUGAUCUUCAUUGUCUUGUGUGGGCUCUUUAGUUGUGGCACGUGGGACCUAGUUUCCCAAGGAGGGAUCACACUUGUGCCGCCUGCCUUGGGAGCUUGGAGUCUUAACCACUGGACCACCAGGCUUCCCUGGUGGUUCAGUUGGUAAAGAAUCUACCUGUAAUGCAAGAGACCCAGGUUCAACCCCUGGCUCAGGAUGAUCCCCUGGAGAAGCAAAUGGCAACCCACUCCAGUAUCCUUGCCUGGAGAAUUCCAUGA
Molecule: long non-coding RNA, 318 nt
Organism: Budorcas taxicolor (takin)
Lineage: Eukaryota; Metazoa; Chordata; Mammalia; Artiodactyla; Bovidae
Exons: 3
Source: RefSeq, a predicted model, not a curated record